Molecule: signal recognition particle RNA, 97 nt
Filed under: Pseudomonadales bacterium
Lineage: Bacteria; Pseudomonadati; Pseudomonadota; Gammaproteobacteria; Pseudomonadales
Description: signal recognition particle sRNA small type
Rfam family: Bacterial small signal recognition particle RNA
About the family: The signal recognition particle (SRP) is a universally conserved ribonucleoprotein involved in the co-translational targeting of proteins to membranes. Archaeal SRP consists of a 7S RNA and homologues of the eukaryotic SRP19 and SRP54 proteins. In most bacteria, the SRP consists of a 4.5S RNA and the Ffh protein (a homologue of the eukaryotic SRP54 protein).
Source: RNAcentral
UGUCGGUCCCCUCGCAAUGACAGGCUGUGAACCCCGCCAGGCCCGGAAGGGAGCAACGGUAGCAGCCAAUGCAUGUGCCGGGGUGUGGCUGGCAGGA